RNAcentral lists this ribosomal RNA (253 nucleotides) under uncultured bacterium. RNAcentral describes it as "partial 16S ribosomal RNA". It matches the Rfam family "Bacterial small subunit ribosomal RNA", at positions 524 to 776 of the family's 1533-position model. The record is from RNAcentral.
UACGUAGGUGGCAAGCGUUGUCCGGAUUUAUUGGGCGUAAAGAGCGUGUAGGCGGCCAGGUAGGUCCGCUGUGAAAACUCGAGGCUUAACCUCGAGAUGUCGGUGGAAACCAUCUGGCUAGAGUCCGGAAGAGGAGAGUGGAAUUCCUGGUGUAGCGGUGAAAUGCGCAGAUAUCAGGAAGAACACCCGUGGCGAAGGCGGCUCUCUGGGACGGUACUGACGCUGAGACGCGAAAGCGUGGGGAGCGAACAGG